This 348-nucleotide unclassified non-coding RNA is filed under the name soil metagenome. Its description in RNAcentral is "partial contains 5.8S ribosomal RNA, internal transcribed spacer 2, and large subunit ribosomal RNA". The stretch from base 1 to 120 matches the Rfam family "5.8S ribosomal RNA", at positions 35 to 154 of the family's 154-position model. The record is from RNAcentral.
GAUGAAGAACGCAGCGAAACGCGAUAGGUAAUGUGAAUUGCAGAAUUCCGUGAAUCAUCGAGUCUUUGAACGCACAUUGCGCCCCCUGGUAUUCCGGGGGGCAUGCCUGUCCGAGCGUCAUUGCUGCCCUCAAGCACGGCUUGUGUGUUGGGCCGCCGUCCCCGGUUUCCCCCGGGGACGGGCCCGAAAGGCAGCGGCGGCACCGCGUCCGAUCCUCGAGCGUAUGGGGCUUUGUCACCCGCUCUGUAGGCCCGGCCGGCGCCAGCCGACACCCAACUUUAUUUCUAAGGUUGACCUCGGAUCAGGUAGGGAUACCCGCUGAACUUAAGCAUAUCAAUAAGCGGAGGA